GUAUAAUAUGGAGCUCUUGAUACAAUACGUUGGAUUUGGCAAUAGACAAUCACAUUUACUGGUAUAGUUCGACGAAAAAAUACUAAGUAAUUGGAGUUUAUUGUAGAUCAGAGAGAGAUAGAUUCUUCCACUUUACGUAUAUUAUUUAUACAACAAAAGACAAAUCGACUAAAACACUAGUUAUAUGUACAAAUAUAAAUGAAAUAUGUAUAUUCCACAGCUCGAA
This is a long non-coding RNA of Vespula pensylvanica (western yellowjacket), 226 nucleotides long. RefSeq lists it as uncharacterized. The record is from RefSeq and is a predicted model, not a curated record. NCBI's taxonomy places the organism in Eukaryota, Metazoa, Arthropoda, Insecta, Hymenoptera, Vespidae. The transcript is spliced from 2 exons.